RNAcentral lists this long non-coding RNA (641 nucleotides) under Panax ginseng (ginseng). RNAcentral's name for it is "long non-coding RNA (PGIN_LNC017674)". The record is from RNAcentral. Lineage: Eukaryota; Viridiplantae; Streptophyta; Magnoliopsida; Apiales; Araliaceae.
CAACUUUUAUGAAUAAAAAUGAUUUUUUUAUAAAUAUCAUUUUUGAAUAUUGUGGAAUAAAUUUGAUAUAAUGUUAUAGUUGUGGAUAAUAUUUAUAAAUUUUGCAAAGUACGCAUGUUGUUAUAUAAUAUUCGAUUGGUCAGUGAAUAUUCAUACGGACGGCACAAUCAUUGGUGGACCCCACAACAGAAUUAUUGUCGGAUUGAGAAAACGACAAAAAUAUUUUUAUGAAAAUAACGACGGAAGUUUUACUGUUGAUACUGCUAAACUACUCGGUAGUAAAAGUACAGUAAUACGCAUGGUUGCACAGUAGCACACGGUAUUGAUUAUUAAUGCUUAUGUGAGAAGUCACUCAGUUUGAUUCAAUUAUUGUCGAUAUUUUAUAUGUUACUAAAUCAAUAAUUGAGAUGACGAAGUUGUUAAUAUUAUUAUUUUCAUUAUUAACGAUGUCUAGAAGUUCUGCCAAGGAGAGGUUUGGUCACCUAAUUGCGCGCCAAUAGGGAGAAAUCCUUAUUGGAAAGCCCCCUCUUUCCUGGGAACGACCUGGUCGAUUAAUAGUGUGAAUAAUAAUAAUGAUGAUGAAGUUUUGUUUUAUUCGUAUUAUUAACGUUAUAAAACAGAAAAAACUUUUUAUAUAAAAC